Molecule: unclassified non-coding RNA, 263 nt
Filed under: Sordariomycetes sp.
Lineage: Eukaryota; Fungi; Ascomycota; Sordariomycetes
Description: partial contains 5.8S ribosomal RNA, internal transcribed spacer 2, and large subunit ribosomal RNA
Source: RNAcentral
CGCACAUUGCGCUCCCUGGUAUCCCGGGGAGCAUGCCUGUCCGAGCGUCGUUUCAACCCUCGAGCCCCAGUGGCCCGGCGUUGGGGCCCUACUGCACUGUAGGCCCUGAAAACCAGUGGCGGUCCCGCGCGGCCCUCUCCUUUGCGUAGUAGCAUUAGCCUCGCAUCGGGAGCCCGUGGGCGCUUGCCUCUAAACCCCCAACAAGCCCGCUCCGGCGGCACAUGGUUGACCUCGGAUCAGGUAGGACUACCCGCUGAACUUAA